UUAACUGAAACCAAAUAGAGGUAUAUCACUGUUAAUGAUAAAAUUGAAAACAAAAUCCAGUUAAA
This 65-nucleotide transfer RNA is filed under the name Oedemera virescens. Its description in RNAcentral is "tRNA-Asn". Lineage: Eukaryota; Metazoa; Arthropoda; Insecta; Coleoptera; Oedemeridae. The record is from RNAcentral.